UGUGCAGCCGAAGGUUGCAAGAAAAACUCCUCGGCCCCUCGGACCAUCUUUCCUGUUUCCAAAUGCCGGGGACCAGUGUCUGUGACUGCGCCGCCUGCCUGAGGGCAUGUACUGAAAAGCCCUGCGACUCCAACAUGUGGGACUCACAAGCACCUUGGACAGGCCUCAAAACGCGGCUGACAUACAGAAUUUUUACCAUUAACGACCUGAGGCAGGACUGGUGGAGUGAGCCAGGAUACUGGGACGUUUGAGGAUAAACUUUUAAAGGAGAAAUGUAAAUGAUCUGUGGGAUAAAAGAGCAAUUUUGUAUAUGAUCUACUAUAAGGUAUGGAUCAAUCAAACAAGUAUUUAUUGAGUUCCUUCUCUGAGUUAACAAGGUGGGUAUAUGGAUCAGACUUCACAGCAAUU
Molecule: long non-coding RNA, 408 nt
Filed under: Homo sapiens (human)
Lineage: Eukaryota; Metazoa; Chordata; Mammalia; Primates; Hominidae
Description: long non-coding RNA NONHSAT185962.1
Source: RNAcentral